GUGUGUUGCAGGCCUAUUCUCACCUGCAACAGCUUUGGAUCACACCCUUCUCUUCCUGUUGAGAUGCUAAACAUCAGCUGCUUCACAUAACAAGCUGACAUGACUGAGAAUACACAAUUCUGAAGAAUGAAAACCACCACUGAAAAGAAAAGGUGAAUCUUAUAAAAGCACAGCACACAGAUCAAGAAAAGAUUGUUUAAUUAUCAAAAUUGUAACUCGUGUACAACUCCCUGCAGAAAAAAAAACAAAAAACCCUGACUGAUAGAAACUGUUAAGACAGUGUUACAAACAUUUCCCCUCUCUUUUAAUCAGCACGGAAAAAGCUUUUGAGAGAUGUUCAAUGGUACAGAUGUUCUUUCAAGCUGUUCAAAGACAUGAUCGUAUCUAGCUAGUCUCACUAGCUGCAGUUCUGUAUGAGCACAAGGAAAACUAUAAUUCAUUCUAUGAAUACAGCGAUACAACGAUGAGCCUUGGUAACUGAAAGCAUAGUGAUACAGUAAAGAGGCAACGGAAGAUAAGAAGACAACUGUCAAAUCUGAAAAAUGUGAUUU
Long non-coding RNA from Larimichthys crocea (large yellow croaker), 551 nucleotides. RefSeq lists it as uncharacterized. The transcript has 2 exons. NCBI's taxonomy places the organism in Eukaryota, Metazoa, Chordata, Actinopteri, Sciaenidae. The record is from RefSeq and is a predicted model, not a curated record.